UUUCGAAUCAUUCACAAUGGGCGAAAGCCUGAUGGUGCGACGCCGCGUGAGGGAUGAAGGUCUUCGGAUUGUAAACCUCUGUCACUGGGGACGAAAAACAUAAUAGUAAUACUAUUAUGUCUGACAUAACCCGGAGAGGAAGCAGUGGCUAACUCUGUGCCAGCAGCCGCGGUAAUACAGAGACUGCAAGCGUUAUUCGGAUUCACUGGGCGUAAAGGGUGCGCAGGUGGCUAUGUGUGUUAGGUGUGAAAUUCCGGAGCUCAACUCCGGAGCUGCGCCUAAAACUACAUGGCUAGAGCAUUGGAGAGGGUAGCGGAAUUCACGGUGUAGCAGUGAAAUGCGUAGAUAUCGUGAGGAACACCAGAGGCGAAGGCGGCUACCUGGACAAUUGCUGACACUCAGGCACGAAAGCGUGGGGAGCCAAAG
Molecule: ribosomal RNA, 426 nt
Filed under: uncultured prokaryote
Description: bacterial SSU rRNA
Rfam family: Bacterial small subunit ribosomal RNA
Source: RNAcentral